UUCGAGCUAGGAUCGUUUCUCUCUCGAUCUUCAAGAGGUAAGAGCCGAUCUCUAGUUCUAAAUGUGUUUUAAGUAAGUUUUAUGCAAGUUUUUGGGGUAGAAAUGCAUGAGUAGGCUUGAUGGGUUUUUAUGAAAAAUCCAUGGUUUAAUGUGUGUUUAUGUGCAAUGUGGCUUGCUUGUGUGUUGUAGUUGGGGUUUAAGCUUGUUGGAGACCCCUAGGAGCUUGUAUGCUUGAGUAUGCUUGUUGUAGAAUAGGUUUAUGCAUGAUUGGUUGUGUAGGGGGUUGUUUUGGACAAAGAAAACCAAGUUUCUGCCCUUUGGCAGAAACCAGGUUCGGCAGCCGAAGGUACUUUCGGCCGCCGAACCAGCUUGGGAGGCAGCUUUAGGCUGCCGAAGCUUGCCCCCGAAAGUUUGAGUUUCGGCCUUGUCCGAGACUUUCGGCCGCCGAAGGUGCCGCCGAACAUGCAUGAGUUUCGUCUCUGUCUGGAAGUUUCGGCCGCCGAAGGUGCCGCCGAACCUGCCUGACUUUCGGCUCUGGAAGGACUUUCGGCCGCCGAAGGUGCCGCCGAAAGUGCCCUUCCCAGCCUUUUCUUGCAUGUUUUCUAGGGAUGUGUUGAGGUGUUUUUAGGAGGUUUUUGGGGGUAUGUUUAGAGUUAUGUUCUUGUUGUUUGGUGCCUCAUUCGAGUCCACCUGUGUAGGUUCGGACCCGAGGACCCGAGACCCCCGGUUGUGAGAUAGUCUUUCAGAGUCCGUCGUUAAAGCUUCGGUCACCAGGUGAGUGGGAUUAUUCCCUAAGUUUUUAAGUAAUGAAUGAAUGAACAAAUGAAUGAAUUUGAUAGCAUACUCAUGCAUCAUUAAUGCCAUGUGAUGUUCAGGAUGUUUGCAUUAGAAAUUCACGAAUAUGUUGCAUUGCAUAAUUUGAUGUUGAUGUGGAUGGUUAUUGGGUGAUCCAUAGUCCUCUAAUGUUAUGUUAUGAUGAUAUGUUAUGGAAGACCAGUGAGGCCCAUUCUACGCCCCUGGCAUUAUGUAAGAGAAAGACCAGCGAGGCCCAUUCUACGCCCCUGGCACUUUGGAAUGUUAUGUUAUGUAUGUUAUGUAAGAGAAAGACCAGCGAGGCCCAUUCUACGCCCCUGGCACUUGGAGAUGUGAGGACUAAUGGUGACAAUACCAUCCUUUAUGUGAUUAAAUGUGAUGUGUUGCAUUUCAUGAAAGCAUGUAAAGUAAAGGUUAUGUUAUUUUUAAUGUUAUUAAUAAAAUGAAUAAUAAUAUACCUAAAAAGUGUGGAAUUAAAGCAAAUGCUAAUAAUAAUAAAAUGAAGAAUAAAAUACCUAAAAAGGGAGGAAUUAAUAUCAUGUUUUUACUUUUUACUCACUGGGCUUUUUAGCUCACCCCUCUCCCCUAACCCCAGUCUUGCAGGUA
Molecule: long non-coding RNA, 1419 nt
Filed under: Manihot esculenta (cassava)
Lineage: Eukaryota; Viridiplantae; Streptophyta; Magnoliopsida; Malpighiales; Euphorbiaceae
Description: long non-coding RNA (MESC_LNC011315)
Source: RNAcentral